AGUGAAGAGUCAUACAAGGACAGUACUUUGAUCAUGCAGUUGUUGAGAGACAAUCUUACUCUUUGGACCUCCGAUUUACCUGAGGAUGGAGGUAAGAUGAUGAUUGAGACUUAAUAUGCAUUUAGACUGUGCCCUGCUAGCAAUAUUUUGUGACUUCUUAGUCCAUGUCUAUAUACUAAAAAAAAAACUAUAUGAAACAGAACAGUUUAUAAUUCAAACAAUAACUAUUCCCACCCGAAUUUCACGCCUCUUUUUUAAUUUAUUAUUACACUAUCAUAUUAUAUCAUACACAUUAUGCUAUAAUACUACAAUAUAUUAUAAUUUAUUAAUUAUAUUACUCUGUAUUGCUAAUGAGUUGAAGUUGGAAAUUGUCUUUUUGUAUGGUCAAGACUUUUUUGUAUCAUACAUGGAUGAAAAGUGAAAUUUAGUCUAACAUUGUUGAUUCUUUUAAACAUAAGGGCCUAAUUUGACAUGAAAAAAAGAUAAACGAUCUAUUCGAAACUUUAAAUAAAAUUAUAAGAUAUCCGAAGUAGUUUUUCCUAUGUAAGGAUCUGUAGUAGCAUCUGUGAGUCCUUAAAUGACUGUGCUGUUAUAGUAAAGAUAUGCUGAAGUGUUCAAAGUUUAUAUAGCAAGAUAUAGAAUCCACCAAAAUUGAGUUACGCAACUCUAUUGUUGUGUUCAAAUAAUGAAUGCUCUCAUGCAGGUGACGAAUUCAAAUCAGAAGAGGCCAAACUCAUUGAACAUGAGGUAUGUGUAUGAUUCAUAAUUAGAUUCAUUACUAGUUUUGUUUCUUGCUGAUAACUGUAAUAUUUUUAUUUGUGUUUACAGCACUGAUAUAGCACGUUGAUCCUGGACGCAUCUAAUGGCCCUGCUGCAAAGAGAGCAUUUUUCAGCUUAUCUUGCCGUUCAUAUCGAACCGAACUUCAUAGUUACUGUGUUCACCUUAUAUCCAACAAAUACUAUAUAGUUCGAUAUGUGGCUCCUCUUUUUUAUAAUUACCGAAUUUUUUUCCUUACUAUUUUGAUUUAUUUCAGGUUAAGUAGUCGUUUGAAGUAAUGGAUGAUAAUUUACAAAUACUUAAAUGUAUCUCUUUUCUUUGUUGAUUAAUUUGAAACGCUUAUCAAAAUUCACAUCUUACAGUAUCCCACUUACAUAAGAAUAUUUAUCCUUUCUAAUUGCAGUUCUCUUAAAUUUGCAAACUUGCGAAGCAUCGUAUUAUUACCUAUACAAAGUUGAAAGUAAAUCAUUUUAAAUUAAUCAAUAAGUCCUUCAAUAAUUGACAAAUCGUAUACAUUCAAAAAUCUAUCUCUAUUAAUGCUACCUUGCUUUUCUUUACUAUAAAAAAUUAUUCUUUGCUCACAUAUUGUUGUGCCUUGAGUUCCAUAAAAGGCUGUUGAAUAAAAGAAAACUCCAUGAAAACACCAUGAAAAAAGCCUGAAAAUAUAGAGAAGAAGAAAAAAUAUAGAGAAGAAGAAGCAAUGUAUUACAUGUGCAACUUGAACUUUGCCAAAUAAUUAGAAUACUUUAUAUGUUUAUCAUGAUGCUAC
RNAcentral lists this long non-coding RNA (1547 nucleotides) under Lathyrus oleraceus (garden pea). Its description in RNAcentral is "Pisum sativum (pea) long non-coding RNA (PSAT_LNC029432)". The record is from RNAcentral. Lineage: Eukaryota; Viridiplantae; Streptophyta; Magnoliopsida; Fabales; Fabaceae.